Long non-coding RNA from Oncorhynchus tshawytscha (Chinook salmon), 3553 nucleotides. The record is from Ensembl. NCBI's taxonomy places the organism in Eukaryota, Metazoa, Chordata, Actinopteri, Salmoniformes, Salmonidae.
UGACUAAAUACUUUUUUGCCCCACUGUAUGUAGUACAUUAGAUAUUUCAGUUGUAGCUGGUAUCAAGUUUGAAUGAAAGGUUUAUAGAUCCUUAUAAGGGUUAUAGUACCUGGUUAUAUUGCAUAAGAGUAAGGGAGGAUAAAUAACUGCGCAUUUUUAUUAUUUAAAUUGAGUGAUUCGAACUGACGUAUGUUUGUAAGGUUUGAGUGAUUCAACCGUAUAUGUUUGCAGGUUGGAGUGAUUCAACCGUAUAUGUUUGCAGGUUGGAGUGAUUCGAACUGACGUAUAUUUGUAAGGUUUGAGAGAGUCGAACCGUAUGAUUGUGGUACAUUGGGUAUUAAGUCGAUGUACUAAUACCAAGUUUAUAUGACCUUCGGGUAAAUAACAGGUGUGAGACCUAGGUUAUGUUUUGAAACGGUAAAGGAGAAGUGCACGGUGUUUACUAGACAGUGGCUAGAUUGGGACACAUUCUAAGGCAGCACUCAAUUGAACCUGAUAAUUUAUAUUGUAUUCAAAUUAAACAAGUAAUUGAAAUACAUUAAUAAAUGGCUAACCAAGAGGCAGAGAAUGUGUUGAAAACAUUGAAAUCAGCAUUAGAGGCCAAUGGAGGAAAAGAGGGAAAAGAUUGGAGAAAGAAAGGAGAAAUUACACAGAGGAUGGAUAAAAGAGGGCAGUAUUGCCGCGCCCAACGGGCUCCCAGUCGACGGGGAGCCUGCUUAAAUACUGGUGACAUAGACUAAAAUUCAUUCUGAUUGUAAUUCAAAUAUUUAUAGGUUUUGCAUCAUGGGGAACAAUGAAAGGCCCGCAAAGUGGAUUGCAGGCUGAGUUUAUUUUAUGUUAAAGGGACAGUGUACGUUCUUCACAGUUGUGUGUGUCUAAUGGCAGGGUUUUUAAGAAGUAUUUUGGGGAGAAAAUUUGGAGGAAGAUUGAAUGAGUUACAUGAGACAUUGAGUAAAUUUAAAACUAAUGAUUGGAGGGAGUACAUUUUCAUUUUCCCAGAGACAUGAUAUCUUAAGGGGGUACACUCACAUAUGAAAUAUUAUACGUUUUUAUUUUCUGAGUCUUAAUUAAAUAGGUGAAAUAUUUUGAUAAAGGAAUGUUGUUUAAUAUAGUAAGAAACACUUCUUUGGAGGGGUGGUAUGACUUAUGACCUCCAUUGUAACUUUCCUUUGUGGUCUGAUCAGCCUCAUUGGAAAGCCAUUUGGAUGGAGAAUCUAGGGUCAUUUGUAAUAGUGAUAUUAAGGUAAUUUAAUACAAAAAGACAGUGAAAUUUACAUUAUAGUGUCAUAUUUGAUGAAUGUGGUGUGAAAAUUAGCUAGGAUAAGUUUGAAUUAUGGUCGACUCAUGUUAAGUAUUUGGGACAUAUUUUGAGCCAACAGGGCUGGGAAGAAAUUUAGAUAUUUGUGUUUGGUUUUAACACCUGUGUACAGGAGUACCUGUGUAAUGGGGGAGGGUGUCCAUAUGGGAAUUACAUGAUAACCAACUUGGGAGUGUUCUGGGAUUGGAGAAGUGGGUAUCCUUAUAGCAUAGGGGAUCCCACAAAGGUGGAUAGGUUUUCCAUGAUAUGGGGGAAACCUGGGAGCACUGUUGAACUCUGUAAAGGUGAUGAAAUCCUACUAACCAUGAAAACUAUUAAGCUCUCUGAUGCAGGCACUUACACCCUCGGACUACAAAGGACCGGGACAGGCACGAUGGGUGUGUUUUCUAUGAAGGUGCUGCCAAAACCACAGAGGUCCCAGACGAACCAGAGCCAGACACACUCCUCUACCACCCCUGGACCGAGCCUGCCACCCACCACCACUGUGUCAAAUCCCAUUCAGUUGCAGGCCUAAACCAAACUAGUGGUCUGGCCGAUGUGUGGUGGAUAUGUGGACCCAAAAGAAUACUGAGACCCAUUCUUAGAGGAGACUGACAAGGUACGUGUGCUCUGACCAGUCUGAUAAUUCCACUGACCAUUGUUGAUGUUACUGCUGAACAGCUGUUGGGUUCUGUAUCCAGGGGGCCUGAAAACAUUCCAUCCCAUGGGAGACAUAGACGUAGUGCUCCAUGGACGGAGGAUGUAGUUGACAUACACACUAAUCUGGUGUGGGUGCCAGUGGGGGUUCCUCAUGAGUUUCAGGCCUUGGGUAGGAAUGACGGACUCUGGCACUUACUACCUAUUAUAGGUCCAGCCAUAGUGGAUGCAAGACAGACUGCAUGGAUUAAUUAUAUCUACUAUAAUCAACAGCGUUUUGUGAAUUACUCUCGUGAUACACUCACUGGUAUGUCUGAAUAGCUGGAGGCCACAUCUAGGGUUGCCAGACAGAAUAGACUUGCUUUGGAUAUGCUUCUUGCCAGUAAGAUGUUCGGUGAACAAUGUUGCACGUUUAUUCCUAAUAACACCAGUCCUGAUGGUAGUAUAUCUAAGGCCCUUAGUGGGCUUGAUGCACUAUCUGCUGAGAUGAGGACCAUGGCGGGGGUGGAGGAGUCUGGACUGUUCUCUUGGUUGGGAGCCUGGUUUGGUAAGUACACUGGUAUGGUGGUUACUGGAUUUCUGACCCUAAUUCUUGUAUUUUUAUUAUUGAUGUGUUGUGCUGCUUGCAUCAUACCGUGUUUUAAGAAGUCUGUUACAGAUGUGGUGAAGGCUUCAGGCAUGAUGCCUUUGCUUGAUGCUCCAGUUGGAGAUGCUGAUACUGAAUCAAGCUUUCAGGGAGGAUGGGACUGAUUGAGGAUGACCCAUGGUAUGCUGUGGGUGAGGUAGUAGAAUAAAUAUUACACCACCACAGUUCCUUCUUUUACAUUUUUGUUUUAUGAUACGUUUUCUUUUCAGUAUGUUUGUUCUCCCUGUUGUGAAGGUUUGGAGUCCCUGGGUGGCAUGGAGCCCACCUGGUACAGGAUAGGAGUAGCUGAGAGGACCAGAUGGUUUAUAAUAAUGCUUUACUCUGUUUUCCAUGACCAAAGUUUUAUCCUAUAUCUUACAGUCAAUAAACAAUAAAGUUUGAUCCUGUUUUUGAUAAGUGACACCCUUAUGGGUGUCAAAAGGGGGAGACAAAAGCAUAUAUCACUUGUUGAUUUUUUAUUUAAUUUUUUUCUUGGUUGAUUUUUCUUUUCUUCUGUAAAAAAAAAAUAAUAAUAAUGUUUUAUUAAUAAUAAACUUUGUAUUAUUUUCAUGAAAUGCUAUUAACAUAUUACUAUGUUGGGACCACUAAAAUAAAGGACAAUGAGUGACACCCUUGUGGGUGUCAAAAGGGGGAAUCAAAAACUCCAGUUUAUAUAUAUGUUAAUCAACAAAGGGAUGUGCAUCACUUCAUAUAUUCACAAAAUAAAGGUUUAAAGUUCCUGGGUUCAUCAGCAACCUAGUAUAUCGGAUGGUGUGGUUACACCACACAGGGGUGUAAAAAGGGGGAUUAUGAGGAUUCUGUGUUAUGCACUAUAGCCCGUUACCAUAUUAUGUGAUUGAAUAUUAUCUGCUGUUGGCUUGUGUGGAUGUAUGGAUGUAUGUAUGUGUUAUGCAACAUAGCUGACUUGAAACAUUGUUAACAGUUUCAAGGCCAUGGGCCUGUCUCAUGAUGGA